GACCUGGUGGUGAAUGGGUCACACCCACUUUUCUUACGCAGUUAUAUCAGUAAAAUUAUACGGUGGGAGUCCUGGUUCGAUUCCGGGCUAGGUCA
This is a non-coding RNA of Mycena metata, 95 nucleotides long. The record is from the annotation of a GenBank genome assembly. Lineage: Eukaryota; Fungi; Basidiomycota; Agaricomycetes; Agaricales; Mycenaceae.